AAUGACAAGUGUUAUCUGUCAAGUGUCAAAAAACUUGAAAAACUUUUACAAAGUUUGAUUUUUGUUAAAUUUGUUUAUAAACACAAUGCCAAAGGCAAGAAUAAUUGCCCACGCCAGAUGGAGACCCAGCUAAAUAAUGUAGUAACAGCGCGUGGUCGUGUGAUGAGGGUUCCUUGACUUGAGUUCUGGCGCAACACAUCCUGGGCACUAAACAAGAUUGGGGAUGGGACGUCUAAAGAGGUGCAAGCCUGGAAAACGCUCUCGUCUUGCUCUACAGCACUUGCACUUGUCCCACCAUCUACCAGUGUUGGAACUCUUCCAAUAAUUUCCCACACCCAGGUGGAGAAUACUCCAGUUACUGCUACUGCUACUCUAAAAUAUCUCUCAUCUUGUUCUACAGCGCCUGCACCUGUCCUACCAUCUACCAGUGUUGGAACUCUUCGAAGUGUAUUAAUGAUUAUUAUUUUAGUAACCAUAAAAGUUUAAAACAAUACAUUUUAUUGCAUAAUUAUUUGUUAGAAAAAACGACAAGUACAAAUGAGUAGGGAGGCUGUUGAUUUUUCAUGGUUAUUUUAUAUCUUGUUGAUUGUUCCAAAAAAAAACUAAGUUUUCAAGAAUGCUGUGAUUAAAGUACCUAUAGUAUUAUAUUUAAAAUGAAAACUUAGUUUGUAAAGAGACGAAGGCUGACCACAAAAGAAGUACUUAUAGCUGUCUGUGUCUGUGUAAAGAAUUUAAAUAAAAAGAUGUGUAUAUUUAAA
Long non-coding RNA from Ostrinia nubilalis (European corn borer), 758 nucleotides. RefSeq lists it as uncharacterized. The transcript has 4 exons. Lineage: Eukaryota; Metazoa; Arthropoda; Insecta; Lepidoptera; Crambidae. The record is from RefSeq and is a predicted model, not a curated record.